GCAAACUUGGUCAUUUAGAGGAAGUAAAAGUCGUAACAAGGUUUCCGUAGGUGAACCUGCGGAAGGAUCAUUAUUGAAUGAAAUUGAGUGGGGUUGUCGCUGGCCUUUCACCGGGCAUGUGCACACCUCAUUCAACCUCUCUACACCUCUGUGCACUUCUCAUGGGUUGGGCUGCGUCUGAAAUAUUGACAUGGCCCCUCUCAUGUGUUCUAUACAAACUAUACAUGUUUUAGAAUGUCUAUACAAUGCGUAAAAGCAUAUAAUACAACUUUCAACAACGGAUCUCUUGGCUCUCGCAUCGAUGAAGAACGCAGC
This 315-nucleotide unclassified non-coding RNA is filed under the name uncultured fungus. RNAcentral's name for it is "partial contains small subunit ribosomal RNA, internal transcribed spacer 1, and 5.8S ribosomal RNA". The stretch from base 1 to 73 matches the Rfam family "Eukaryotic small subunit ribosomal RNA", at positions 1759 to 1831 of the family's 1831-position model. The record is from RNAcentral. Lineage: Eukaryota; Fungi.